AACAGGCAUACUCACACAUGCUGGGGAGACUAAAAUGAGUAGUCUCCAGUUGGGACGUUAGAAAUCUUUUUGUUCCUGUGACAAAAUAAGAUACAUUUAUUUUGAGUCAAGGAUUUUGAAAAGGAACUACCAUCUUGUCCAAGGAAACAAACGGCAAAUUCUGGUCCCUUAACUUUGUGUUCGUUACAGGUAUGCUCCCAACAGAUUCUUCAUGAAACACUGGUUAAGCUACAAGGCCAGAAUGUUUACAGAGUUCCUUAUGACCUCACCAGUUGAGAACUAGUGGGGAUUGAGGAGGUUACACCUGAGGAAAAGCUGUUACUAAGGGAAAAUCUUUAUCCCCAAGACUUCUUCAGUAAGCCUCCAGAUCACUUCGGCUGUCAGUCACUGCAUUCACUCCUGGUUGACACACUUUGGGAAUCACACAGCUGAGCAGUAUAUAUUAACUGCCUGCCAGCUUAUGAGAAGUAACACCUCUGACAUGUGGAUACUCUGACAUGGUAACAGUUGCCUAGGUUAUUUUGCAGAAACUUGAACUUUUGCUAAGACAGAUUCUUCACUGGAGGUUGCAAAUACCUGAUGGAUAACCACGGACCCCAGACGUAACACAUCCGACACCGUGAUGGAAGUACUAUCAGGCCUUAAAAUCCAGCAUGGACGUAGGCAGCAAGACCUGCCAAAAUGAGAACCAAGACCUAAUCCAUCAAAGUCCAUCGAUCUGGGAAAGUCUCUAAUGUACCAACCUUGCUUUUUGGCUUCUGUAGUUCCGAAUCUGACCAACUGAGUUGUGUCAGUCCAGGAUGUGGUUUUUAUGCUUAAAAGCCCACUCCGAGAAAGGCUCAGUACUGCACUGGGGUCCCAGACACCCAGUGUAGUUACCAGCCUGGUAAUAAAGACUUUGUAUGGCUUGAAA
Peromyscus eremicus (cactus mouse) is the source of this 913-nucleotide long non-coding RNA. RefSeq lists it as uncharacterized. The record is from RefSeq and is a predicted model, not a curated record. Lineage: Eukaryota; Metazoa; Chordata; Mammalia; Rodentia; Cricetidae. The transcript has 2 exons.